CCAGGAGCAUGUUAUCUGGUCUGCUGAGUAAAUACUGGGUCACUAUAUACGUGACCAUUGCUGAGUCAAGAUGUAAUGUCUCACAAGCAAUGUGUUUGUUUUAACAGGGUUCGUCUUCAAGGUGUGAUUUUGGCAGAAAAAAUAAGGCAAGAAGGCCAACUGCCUACCGUCCCCGGGCUUUGAACGCUCCUGUGGGAGUUCAAGUAUCGUCCCAGGGCAGGCUGCAGGAAGAGCUCCCAGAAGCAUAAAUAGAGCACACGCCGAUAAUUGCCACCCGAAUAGUAAACAGACAAUACAGGGAUUAUUUCCUGACUUCCUAUGAUGUGAAAAGGAAAGGUGGAAGUUUUUGAGGACUUGGAAUAACAGGAACUUAACCAUUAAUUUUGGAGAAGGCAAUGGCACCCCAGUCCAGCACUCUUGCCUGGAAAAUCCCAUAGACGGAGG
Long non-coding RNA from Capra hircus (goat), 444 nucleotides. RefSeq lists it as uncharacterized. The transcript is spliced from 4 exons. NCBI's taxonomy places the organism in Eukaryota, Metazoa, Chordata, Mammalia, Artiodactyla, Bovidae. The record is from RefSeq and is a predicted model, not a curated record.